AACGCACAUUGCGCCCUUUGGCAUUCCGAAGGGCAUGCCUGUUCGAGCGUCAUGAUCAACCCUCAAGCCUGGCUUGGUGUUGGAUGUGAUCGUCGUGAUGGACGAUCCGUCCCGAAGACAAUGACGGCGUCGCGAAGUGCCCCGGUACAUGGAGCUUUCACAGCACGUACUGGUGUCGGCUGCGCGACCCGGCCACGGUGGACCAACUCGUUGGUUCACACUUCCACAAGGUUGACCUCGGAUCAGGUAGGAAUACCCGCUGAACUUAA
RNAcentral lists this unclassified non-coding RNA (269 nucleotides) under uncultured fungus. RNAcentral's name for it is "partial contains 5.8S ribosomal RNA, internal transcribed spacer 2, and large subunit ribosomal RNA". Lineage: Eukaryota; Fungi. The record is from RNAcentral.